UAAAUAUUGAAGCACUUUGCUUUGUCCAGAUUAGUUUUCAUCUCUUCGCCAUCAUGAUAAGAUUUAUUUGUGUUUUGUUGGUGCUAAUUGCGGUCUCUACGAGUGCACAACGCCCUUAUGGAGAAGUAUCAAUUAAAGGAAACGCUGCAUUUUGGGAAAGGAUCUUGGAAUAUAUAUUUGGACUGUUUCUUGGACAUUUCGAUGAUUACGAUUAUUACAAAGAACGGCAAAACAUUAUCGAUUCUCCCGACGAACAACCUCGACCUUCGACUCAAAACGAUUUUCCUGAAAUUUUUACAAAACCUGAAAAUGAUGAAUUUCUCGUUUUUGAAAAUGAUCUUCCCUUGAAAACACAACAAGUUCAAAAUACGGCUGAACAAAUCUACUCGAUUUUAGACCUUUUCCCAAAAAUUCAUCAACCAGGACGUGGAAAAAUUCCAAAUAAUCAAAUUGUGUUUUUUUGAAAACAAUCUUCCUGUGGACACGCUAGGACCACUACCAAGAUUCGAUGGCAAAUUUUCGAUCCUAAACUUAUUUCCUGACAUUCUUAGAUUAAUUAAUCCCGAGAAAACUGUAAAUCAUCAACUUGCUCCUGCUAUUGAACUUGAUGAAAAUCCAAAACAAAGCGAAGAACCUGAAGAGAAUUUAACAAAUAGUGAUACAAAUGAUGUUUUGUAUGAUGAUACUGCGAACGAUUCUGAAGUCAAUGAUAACGACGAAUCGGGUCCGGAAUUAAAUGAUGUUAAAGCAAAUGAUGAAACCGAAGCUGCGAACGCGACUUAAGAUGAACCAAAAUAUUGGAAUUUAACGAUUUGAGUAAAUCUUUAUUAUACGAAAAGGGAAACAGACGAGCAACUGAUGUACGAAUACUUUAAUUUGCUUCUUGCAAAUUCUUAAAAUUUCUAAUUUUGUUCAACAUUUUUAAAGAUAUUCGAAUUAAACUGACUUGGUAAUGGUAAUUUUUA
This is a long non-coding RNA of Drosophila sulfurigaster albostrigata, 965 nucleotides long. RefSeq lists it as uncharacterized. Lineage: Eukaryota; Metazoa; Arthropoda; Insecta; Diptera; Drosophilidae. The record is from RefSeq and is a predicted model, not a curated record. The transcript has 2 exons.